RNAcentral lists this unclassified non-coding RNA (432 nucleotides) under Zea mays. RNAcentral describes it as "misc RNA Zm00001eb285280". Lineage: Eukaryota; Viridiplantae; Streptophyta; Magnoliopsida; Poales; Poaceae. The record is from RNAcentral.
CUGACCUUGUCGCACGUCGUCUUCUACGUAUUGUGCAUUGACAUGGUCACCGCCAUGCCAAGAAGCGCCGCAAGAAGGACGCCCGGGCCACACUUGACCUUGAGCGAGUCUGCCAGACCGGUGGUGAUCCUAGCGCUGGUCCCAGCAGCGCUGCGGCACCUGUCGCAGCAACCGCCAGCGCCACGUCAAGACCGAUGGGUGUGUCCUCCAUCGCCUUCGCCAGAGCGGGUUGCAGAGCGGUUGCGUGAGUCUGAGACCCAGCAGCCGCUCCGUCCGAUGCGGUACUGCCCCCUCCAUGGAUGGGGACGUGUCCUGCUCGCCAACCGCGGGUUCCUCCAACGGAUGCAGACACUUCUGCCCCCGUUGUUCGAUCAAGCGGACUGCUCGUUCAAGUCGCCUCUCCAGCGUGCCCUCGUGCCCGGACACGACUGA